AGCUUUGCGCAGUGGCAGUAUCGUAGCCAAUGAGGUUUAUCCGAGGCAUGAUUAUUGCUAAUUGAAGAGCCAAGUGGAAAACAGUUUCUUCCUUGAACGUUUAGGUACUGUAAAAGUAUGCUAAAUCUUGAAUGUUUCCCCAGAU
Molecule: small nuclear RNA, 145 nt
Filed under: Neogale vison (American mink)
Lineage: Eukaryota; Metazoa; Chordata; Mammalia; Carnivora; Mustelidae
Description: Neovison vison (American mink) U4 spliceosomal RNA (ENSNVIG00000022391.1)
Rfam family: U4 spliceosomal RNA
About the family: U4 small nuclear RNA (U4 snRNA) is a component of the major U2-dependent spliceosome. The structure of U4 snRNA from yeast and human has been reported. U4 snRNA presents a k-turn RNA motif in the 5p-SL related to recognition of Snu13 protein.
Source: RNAcentral